AAAUGAAUUGACGGGGACCCGCACAAGCGGUGGAGCGUGUUGUUUAAUUCGAUGGUAAACGAAGAACCUUACCCAGGCUUGACAUCCUGCGAAUUUCUCCGAAAGGAGAGAGUGCUUUAUUGAGCGCAGUGACAGGUGUUGCAUGGCCGUCGUCAGCUCGUGUCGUGAGAUGUUUGGUUAAGUCCAUCAACGAGCGCAACCCUUAUAGUCUGUUGUAUUUUUCAGGCUAGACUGCCCCGGUAACGGGGAGGAAGGAGGGGAUGAUGUCAGGUCAGUAUUACCCUUACGUCUGGGGCUACAAACACGCUACAAUGGCCGGUACAAAGGGCUGCCAAGUCGCAAGACGGAGCAAAUCCCAUCAAAGCCGGUCUCAGUUCGGAUUGCAGGCUGAAACUCGCCUGCAUGAAGUCGGAAUCGCUAGUAACGGUAGGUCAGCUAUACUACCGUGAAUACGUUCCCGGGUCUUGCACACACCGCCCGU
RNAcentral lists this ribosomal RNA (481 nucleotides) under uncultured bacterium. RNAcentral describes it as "bacterial SSU rRNA". It matches the Rfam family "Bacterial small subunit ribosomal RNA", at positions 903 to 1397 of the family's 1533-position model. The record is from RNAcentral.